This 433-nucleotide ribosomal RNA is filed under the name uncultured bacterium. RNAcentral's name for it is "partial 16S ribosomal RNA". It matches the Rfam family "Bacterial small subunit ribosomal RNA", at positions 29 to 507 of the family's 1533-position model. The record is from RNAcentral.
AACGAACGCUGGCGGCAUGCCUAACACAUGCAAGUCGAACGAGACCUUCGGGUCUAGUGGCGCACGGGUGCGUAACGCGUGGGAACCUGCCCUUAGGUUCGGAAUAACUCCCCGAAAGGGGUUCUAAUACCGGAUAAUGUCUUCGAACCAAAGAUUUAUCGCCUUUGGAUGGGCCCGCGUUGGAUUAGCUAGUUGGUAGGGUAAAAGCCUACCAAGGCGACGAUCCAUAGCUGGUCUGAGAGGAUGAUCAGCCACACUGGGACUGAGACACGGCCCAGACUCCUACGGGAGGCAGCAGUGGGGAAUAUUGGACAAUGGGCGAAAGCCUGAUCCAGCAAUGCCGCGUGAGUGAUGAAGGCCUUAGGGUUGUAAAGCUCUUUUACCCGGGAUGAUAAUGACAGUACCGGGAGAAUAAGCUCCGGCUAACUCCGUG